CCCUGAGGCUGCUUGUUGACUGAAGGC
Molecule: non-coding RNA, 27 nt
Filed under: Rattus norvegicus (Norway rat)
Lineage: Eukaryota; Metazoa; Chordata; Mammalia; Rodentia; Muridae
Source: RNAcentral